Molecule: ribosomal RNA, 402 nt
Filed under: Verrucomicrobiota bacterium
Lineage: Bacteria; Pseudomonadati; Verrucomicrobiota
Description: Verrucomicrobia bacterium partial 16S ribosomal RNA
Rfam family: Bacterial small subunit ribosomal RNA
Source: RNAcentral
UGGGGAAUUUUGCACAAUGGGGGAAACCCUGAUGCAGCGACGCCGCGUGAUUUAGAAGGCCUUCGGGUUGUAAAAAUCUUUUGUAUGGGAAGAAAAUGACAGUACCAUACGAAUAAGGACCGGCUAAAUACGUGCCAGCAGCCGCGGUAAUACGUAUGGGGCGAGCGUUGUCCGGAAUUAUUGGGCGUAAAGGGUACGUAGGCGGUCUAUUAAGUCAGGUGUGAAAGCGUGAGGCUUAACCUCAUUAAGCACUUGAAACUGAUAGACUUGAGUGAAGGAGAGGAAAGUGGAAUUCCUAGUGUAGCGGUGAAAUGCGUAGAUAUUAGGAGGAAUACCGGUGGCGAAGGCGACUUUCUGGACUUUUACUGACGCUCAGGUACGAAAGCGUGGGGAGCAAACAGG